RNAcentral lists this long non-coding RNA (4137 nucleotides) under Sus scrofa (pig). RNAcentral's name for it is "lncRNA (ENSSSCG00000055003.1)". Lineage: Eukaryota; Metazoa; Chordata; Mammalia; Artiodactyla; Suidae. The record is from RNAcentral.
AUAGUCAGGAUCAGUUAUCUGCCACAUUGUAACUCCCUUGCCUGUUGCUUCAGAGGAGCCCACAGUGGCCAGGUAGCAGUCUUAACUUCCAAUUGAAUGGAAUCAUUGUUGUGUCUCUUGGUGGAAUCAUUUCUCCUUCUGGAACUAAGACCUCUAGGUCACCAGACCUUUAGGUUACAGGAAUAAGAAGCAAAUUUUUUCUAGUGGGCCCCUGAGGGUAAUUGUGAGUGGUGCUCUUCCUGUUUCUACCCCAUGAUUCCUGGAUCCAUCAAUCCUGGCUAUGGGAGAAACAGCAAUGUUGGGAGAUGGAGAUAGUGAAUAAUAUCCUCAGAACUGAGAAGGAACUGUAAGACCAAAAGACAAAGCAGGUAACUUCAUAAAGUGCAUUUGUGGUGUUUAUUGUGGAUAACUUACAUAUAGGCCAGAUCAAGUGGAUGUUGAUCCAGAGGCAUUAGCAACUAUACUCUGCACUGCCAAAAGGGGUACAGGGAGAUUUAAAGGGGCCAAAGCUAAACAUAGAAUCUGACUACCAAGAGAUAAUCAUGUCCACAGUUUCAAAUGGAAUAUUCUUCCUCUUCACUGGAGGUCUCAUGACCAUUAACCAUCUGCAUCAGCAAAAGUCAUUCUUCUACUUUUCCUGUCAAAUGAAGGCAGGGUAGACAUUGAUAGGGAACUUAUCUGGCUUGGGCACUUUCCUUGUGAGUAAGCUAAAGCUCAGUCAUUAAAGGGGAAAGGGUAAGACUGCAGGCUUUCCUGCAGCUAAUAAAAUGGAGUCAGUAUAGUUCAGCCACACAAGCACCAUAUAUUGGAUGCUGAUUCACAGCAUAUAUAGCCUUCUGUAGAGCCUUUCCCAAGCCCUGCAAAAUAUUGUCACUGAGCUGGUGCUGUAACUGAGUCUUCAGAAGGCCAUUCCACUGUUCUGUCAAGCUAGCUAUUUCAAAAUGGCAGGGAACAUGGUAAGACUAGUGAAUUACCUGAACAUGUAUCCAUUGUUUUACUUCUUUUGCUAUGAAAUGAGUUCUUUGAUCAGAAGGAAUGCUGAAUAAUGUGACAGUGAAUAAGGCAUUUUAUAUGUCUUCAGAUGAUAGUGCUGGCAGAGACAUUGCAUACAGGAAGGCGAAUCCACAUCCAGAGUAAGUGUUUAUUCCAGUAAGAACAAAACAGUGUCCCUUGAUGACAGCAGUUCAAUAUAAUCAGCUUGCUACCAUGUUACUGGCUGAGGACCCUGGUGAAUAAUGCCAUAUUGGGCACUUAGGGUUGUUGGGCACACUGUGUUGCUACUGCUAGCACAGUGGGUACCCAGCAGUUGCCUUAGCCAACUUGAUGAGUGGAAGUCUAUGUUCCUGAGCUCAUGCAUAACCUCCAUCCUUCCUACCAUGGCUACUUUGUUCAUGAACCCAUUGGACAGAGACUUAGUGGCUGGGCAAAGCACCUAACUGGUAUCCACAGAAUUGGUCACUUUAUCCGCUUGAUUGUUAAAUUCCUCCCCUGCCGAGAUCACCCUUUGGUGAACAUUCCCAUGGGAUGCAAAUGUAUUUACAUUCGUUUUUGCCCAUAUCUAUACUUCUAUCCCAACUUUGCUUUAUCACCAAUUUUCCAAACAUGUUCCUUACAAAUUCUUGACCAUUAAGCCAAAUUGCUGGCCAUAUCCAUGAAUUAGUGUAUAAUUGUAUGUAUGGCCCUUUUUCCUUCUCAGCAAAGUGAACAAUCAAUGUGCACAACUCCAAGUUCUGCCCACUGGGAAGGACCUCCUAUCACCACUGUCCAUCAAGGAUGUCCCAUAAAGGGAAGGGGAUGUAGUGCUGCAACUGUCUACUUCUGGGUGGCAGCCACAUAUUUUGCAGAUCUUUCUGUAAACUAGGUCUGAGAUUUCUCUUCCUCUGUCAACUGAUCAUAGGGAACUCCCCAUGAGGCCAUAGGUACAGGCUGGGAAGGAGAAAAUAGUAUAACAUGAGUGGGGAUAAUGGGCAUUUGAACAAUAUCUUGAUGAAACUUACUUGUACUUUGAGGGCUUCUUCAACCCCAAUUUCAUAUAUUUCACUUAUGUUUAAUGAUGGAGCAUGCUUUGUAUGAAACUUUAUGGUUUGGUGGGUCAGAUAACAUGCAGUUCAUGAUGGGCAAUUCAGGUUGCAAGAUAACUUGUCAGCCGAUGGUUAAAUAUUCAGUUUCUCCUAAGGCCAAGUAGUAGGCCAGGAGUUCUUUCUCAAAAGGGGAGUAGUGAUCUGUAUUAGACUGCAGGGCUUGGCUCAAAAAUCCUGAGGGCCUGCACUGCAGUUCACCUAUAGGGACUUGACAUAGACUCAAACAACUUCCCUGUGUACCACUAAGAUUUCAAGCACCAUUAGAUCUGCUGGAUCACAAGUCCCUAAUGGCAGUCCUGCUUGCACAGCAAGCUGGACAGGUUAGAAAGCCAGCUACUAUUCUGGGCCCCACUCAGAGUAAGUGGCUAUUUGAAACACUUGGUAAAUGAGGCAGAGUAUAUACCAAAAUGAGGAGUCUGUUGCCCUCACCAUUCAAAGAGGCCCAUCAGGUGAUGUGCCUCUUUUGGGUUGUAGGAAGGACUAGAUAAAAUACUUGUCCUUAACCUUAGAAAAUAUAAUCUUGACAUACUCCACACCACUAAUUUCACUUAAGUAGAAUGCCCCUGAAUUGUUGGAUUUGUUUCUCACCCUCUGACAUGCAAAUGUCUUACCAAUAAGUCUAGAGUAGUAGCUAUAUCUUACUCCCUAAGUCCAAUCUGCCUAAUAUCAUCAGUGUAAAGGACCAGUGUGAUAUUUUGUGGAUAUGAAGGUGAUCAAGAUCCCUGUGAACCAAAUUAUGACAUAAGGCUGGAGAGUGUAUAUUCCUCUGAGCUAGGAUAGUGAGGAUAUAUUGCUUGUCUUGUUAGCUGAAAGCAAAUUGUUUCUGGUGGUCCUUAUUAACAGAUACAGAAAAAAAAAUCAUUUGCUGGAUCAAUAGCUGCAUCCUAGGUACCAGGGGAUGUAUUAAUUUGCUCAAGCAAUGAAAUCACAUCUGCUUUAGCAGUGGAAAUUGGAACCAUCGCCUGAUUAAGUGUGUGAUAAUCCUCUUUCAUUCUCCAAGACCCAUCUGUCUUCUGCAUAAGCCAGAUAAGUGGGUUGAAUGGGGAUGUUGUGGGAACCACCAGCUCUGCAUCUUGAUGGUGUCACUAAUGUAUACCAUACCAUCCCUUUGGUGAUGUGGUAUUACUUUUGAUUUACUCUUUUCCUAGGUAGGAGUUCUAAUGGCUUCCACUUGACCUUUCCCACUAUUUUGAUUACUCUAGAGGUUGGGGAAUCAAUGUGGAGAUUCUGCCAGCUGCUGAAUAUGAUGUGUGUGUAUAGUCUAUUUAUGCAUUACAGAGCAGGAGAAAAAAUGAUAGGAUGGCUUCUGAGACCUGUGAUAUGGGCCUGAGCUAAAACUUCAUUGGUCACCUGACCUCUGUUAUCCUGUACUCUGACUGGUGGCCCAUAGUUUUGGGUCUUCUGGAAUUAGGUAUCUGUUCAAAGCCAGUUGGACAUCCAAAGGUAUGAUUAGUUUUUUUUUCCUAAUGCAAAGAUCAAAGGCUAUAGAUCCCUAUGGGGAAGGUUGGGAAAAAGAUUAAUAGUAUAAAUUGUCAGUAGUGUACCAGGAUCUUUCCUCAAGGUUGCUCGGCCUCUCCAUCAUUCAAGGAUACUGGGUUUGUGAACUACAUCAAGUCUGGGAAUUGAUUGAAGGUCCAUGACUACCUGUUUUCAUGAUUCAGGUUAGACUUUUGUUUUCAUGACCUAGAACUUUUCUGUUUACACAGAUCAAGUAAGAAUUUUCUAGGCUUCCUAUCUAUUUCAUUCUAGGAACAAAUGAUCAAGCACAUCAUAGGUCUGCAUGAGUAAGACAAUUCUUUUUUUUAAAUUUUUAUUUUGGAGUUCCCGUCGUGGCACAGUGGUUAACGAAUCCGACUAGGAACCAUGAGGUUGCGGGUUCGGUCCCUGCCCUUGCUCAGUGGGUUAACGAUCCGGCGUUGCCGUGAGCUGUGGUGUAGGUUGCAGACGCGGCUCGGAUCCCGCGUUGCUGUGGCUCUGGCGUAGGCCGGUGGCUACAGCUCCCAUUCGACCCCCAGCCUGGGAACCUCCAUAUGCCGCGGGAGCGGCCCAAAGAAAU